Meleagris gallopavo (turkey) is the source of this 1101-nucleotide non-coding RNA. The record is from RefSeq and is a predicted model, not a curated record. NCBI's taxonomy places the organism in Eukaryota, Metazoa, Chordata, Aves, Galliformes, Phasianidae.
UUUACUUACACUGCGCUGUCAGCUGGCGAGAAUUGCUGACAGUAAAGAUCAUGUCUUUCCUGUGAAUGAUGGUUUUGAAGCCCUGCAGGGAAUUAUUGAUUCUAUUUUGAAGAAAUCAUGUAUUGAAAUUCUGGCUGCAGAACCUUCCAGUAUAUGUGCAGGAGAGUCAUUUCAGGUUGUUGUGAGAGGGAAUGGAUUUCGACAUGCUCGUAACGUCGACAGAGUCCUCUGCAGCUUCAGGAUCAAUGACACAGUCACUCUCAAUCAAAAAAGCUGCAGGCUGACUGGACAGGGUCCAAAGGAAGGCCAAGAAGAUGAUCCAAGGACUGAAGAAUCUGCCUUACAUGGAAAUACUGAAAGAAUUAAAUGUAUUUGCCCUGGAGAAGAGGGGACCCUACCACAAUAUUCCAGUACUUGAAGGGCAGCUACAAGGACAAAAGAAGCUCCCUAUUUGCAAGAACAAACAUGGAGAAGAAAACAGAGAAUGGGCACUUCAACUUCACUGGGAUAGGUUCUUUCUUUACUUAAGAGACAUUUCUUCACAGCAAGAUCAGUCAACCACUGGUACAGCAUCCCCAGAGAUGUGGUGGAAUCCCAGUCUUGGUUUUUAUAGUAUAAUUUGACAGGGUGCUAGAUAAUCUCAUCUAGGCUCCCUUUUCCCAUGUAAGGUUGUAGCUGACAGUCUUUCAAGGUCCUUUCCAGUCUAGGAAGAUUGUAAGAAAAAGAUUGAAAGAAGAAAGCUCAGAGUCUAAUGACCUGAAAUAUGUGGGUCUUGGCCUUUUUAAUUAGAAGUUUUAAAAUAUGCAGUAGACAAAUGUGGUCUCUGUCCCGCAGCCUAGUUCUCUUCCUCCUGGUUUAUGGGCUCCUCCAGUAGCUAGAGAUUUGGUGCAGAUCUCCUUUUUCAGAGGUCAUCCUUCUUUUCUCUCCUGUGUAAAGCCUGUUCAGCAUUCUAUUUGCUGCUCCACUUUUUCUCUUGUCUAUAGCUUGAAAGUUCCCUCUUUACUUGAGGCUACACUGGCUUUGACCUGCCAUCUGUGCUGCAUCUCAAUAGUUUCAAAGCUCAGCUUUCUGGCACUGAUGCAAGACAUUCAUUCCUGGAAA